UUAUGACCAUAUCAUGUGGAAACACCAGUUCCCGUAUGAUCACUAAAAUUAAAUAACUUCAAGCCUGGUCAGUACCUAGAUGAGUGACCCUUGGGAAAACGAGGUGCUGUAAG
This is a non-coding RNA of Acanthosepion pharaonis, 113 nucleotides long. The record is from the annotation of a GenBank genome assembly. Lineage: Eukaryota; Metazoa; Mollusca; Cephalopoda; Sepiida; Sepiidae.